Ictalurus punctatus (channel catfish) is the source of this 559-nucleotide long non-coding RNA. The record is from Ensembl. NCBI's taxonomy places the organism in Eukaryota, Metazoa, Chordata, Actinopteri, Siluriformes, Ictaluridae.
CAAAAUACUAAACGUUCAAGUUGAGAUGAGUACACGAGAGAUGGGUAGAUAGAUAUAAUAAAGAAGAUGCCACAGGAGAGUAACUAGAUUAAUUCAGUAAUAAAUUACAGUGCAGUAUGAUAAUAAAAAUCCCUUCUCCAGCUUCAGAAGUACUCUGCUUGCACAGCUGAUGGACGAGUUGUGUUCAAAUAGUCCAGUUUCUCUGGAAACGCCAUGGGCCCAAACAUGGAAAGAGCUACAUCACAAACACAUCACAGACUAUUUAUAAAGACAGCUAUUACCCCAGGGACUUGGCAUGCCUUCGGUGACCCUUUCCUACAAAAACACCCAUGGCCCUUGUGUGCUUGUGCCAAGAACUGACAGUAACAGAGAGAAGGAACACAUUUCAGCCCUUCUUGAGCAGGACUGAAGAUCCGCACUUCCAUCUAAGGGCCGCAAGCCUCAGAUAAUUCAAACACAUCUUCUCCGUGAGAGGAGGAUGGCUUUAACGCAAUAAACCUAACUCUUUAUUGUCAUAAAGCUUUGGCAUUUGCAAUGUGUGCUGCAUUGACAUUUCUGU